This 8604-nucleotide long non-coding RNA is filed under the name Olea europaea (common olive). Its description in RNAcentral is "long non-coding RNA (OEUR_LNC003973)". Lineage: Eukaryota; Viridiplantae; Streptophyta; Magnoliopsida; Lamiales; Oleaceae. The record is from RNAcentral.
UUGACCAUUGGCUAUUGUUUCGGGAUGAUUCUUGGGCUUUAUCUCUUGUAUGCUAUUUCAUUUGGCAUCUGAAUCGAUAAAUUUAUCUCCUAGCUGUUGGUUUUAGAGAGAGAAAAUGAGGAGGAGAAUCUCUACUACCAAGGUUUCAUCUUUGGUUCUUGUCUCUGAAAUUUAUGAUUUAAGAACUGUAAUCUAUGAUGUUUAGCCUCUUUUUUUUAAUAUUUCGAGUGGACAUUUGUAAGAACAAGAGGGUUUUUAUGAGUUGUUAUUUUCAGAGGAGUUUUGGGACAAUUCUUGGUGAUUAUUCAUAGAUCGGAUGUUGUUCUUGAGAGAUAAGUGUUUUUAUGCUAUCUCUGUUUUAUUGGUUAAAACUCUUGUAACCCUUGUUACCAUUUUGGGCUAUUUAAUCCAAUUUAUUGAAUUCUCAAAGGAGAUGUAAGUGUUAGAAAUGGUCUCCAAACCUCCAAGGUUUCGGCCAAAAUAAUUCUCGUGUUCGAUCUUUAAUUUCUGCACAUUUACUUUCUGUAAGAUCAAUUUAUCUUGUUUCUCAAAACUGAUAUUGUAUGAAUCUGGCCUUACAGUGGUAUCAGAGCCAUUACUGAGUAGCAAGAUACUUGGAUUCGAGAAGAAAGUGUCUGAUCUACUACAUAUUUGAAAAUUUUGAAACUGUUUUUAUGCAAAACCGAAAGAAAACACUUUGUAUGAACUCGUUGGGUAAGAUAUUUAAUUUUUUUGUAAACUUUCCUUUUCAGAAAUUAGGGUUUCUUGAUUUUUCCUUGAUUUUCUGUACACUGAGAACCUCCUUGAGACUAAUUUUUGUCCAAAGGCUCCUACGAGUCCUUGAGAAUCUGAGACAAACGUGUGCAUAGGGAAGACCUUAUAGGAGGAAUCUUUGAAACGUAGUACCGUGAUCUUUGUCACUGUGUUUUCUUUUUGAUCUUGGCCGACAUGUUCUCUGAAUAUGCUUGAAAUUUACAAAACUUGUGAAAUCUUGUUUUACUUUUCGUACUACUGUGAUUCAAUUAACACUAAGCUGAAUAUUGUUAUUCUUUGUAGGUAUUGUCUUCAACUUGUGUUUCAUUUUUAUUAGGAAAAUGGACAUUGCUAAGUUUGAAGUUAUUUGAUGGAAAUUUUGAAUUUAAUAUUUGGUGUCAGAAAAUGAAGGCUAUUUAAAUACAAAUGGAAUGUGUUAAAGUAUUAGAUGAUAGUUGCCCUACUGACAUGAUUCCUGUAGAGAGAUUUGAACUUGAAGAAGAUGCAUGGAGGAGUAGGUAAAAUCAAAACUGCUUCUGAACUGUGGACUAAAGUUCAGUCCAAGUAUAUGAUUAAAACUACUACAAGUUUUCUAUUGAAACAAUUCUUUUCAUUUAAAAUGGAUACUUCAAUCAACUUGGACGAAAAAUUUAAGAGAUUUACAAAACUUGUCCAAGACAUAGUUAACAUUGAUAAAAAAAAAACACUUUCAAAAUAUUAUAUGGCUACAAUCCUUUUAAACUUCGUUAAUGACAGACAUAAAGACAUCAAGGUUCUUCUAGGAUAUGGCAGGGAAGAACUUACCAUUGAUAAUUUUUUUGCAAAAGAAAAAGUUCUUAGUAGAUCUAAUAAUCACUCCAAGUAUUUUAAUAAAAAUAAAAAAAAAGUCGAGCGUUAAAAAUAAGUCCAAAAAUAAUGCUAAAGGCAAGAAAUGUUUUUACUAUGGGAAAUUGAGACUUUUUGCUAAAGGUUGCUAUAAGAAGAAAAAUGAUUCCAAAUAAAGGAAGUUUGGUGAUGGGAGUGCUGCCCUAGUUUAUAAUAAAGCUAAGAUUGAAAAUGGUUUAGUCCUUGUUAAUACGGGGAAGAAACUUAGUGAUGAAUGGAUACUUGACUGAGGCUGUUAUUUCCACACGUGUCCAAAUAAAAACUGUUUUCUUGAUUUUGAAAAAACUUUUGGCGGGCAAGUUAUAAUGGGGAAACUUUCAAGGUUAGUUGAACAUGGACAAUAAAAUUGUUGUUAGAAUAUUCCUGAAAGAAAUAAGAUAUGUUCCUAAUUUAAAGAGGAAUCUAAUAUCCUUAAGCAUGUUAGAUGACGUGGAGUUUAACAUAAAUUUGGUUCAAGAACACAUUAAAAUUCUUAUGGGCAAUGAUUUAAACAUAAGCACCCCAAAGAGACAGCGCCUCUUUUUUUUGAAAGCUAAACCCUUACUUGAUUUGAUUGCUUCUACUUUAUUUGAGAAUUUUACACUUGCAAAAUUGUGGCAUGAAAGACUUUACCAUAUUGGUAAAAAGAGUUUGAACUCUUUACAAAAAAAAAAAAAGGAAUUUUUGGAAAAUUAAAUUUUGAUAAUUUUGAUCAUUGUGAACAAUGUGUUAUAGGAAAACAAGUCAAAUUACAUUUUCCAACGAGAAUUCAUAAAUCCAAACAAACACUUGAAUAUUUACAUGCUAAUUUAUGGGGUCUUGCUGCUGUGUACACUUUAUCUGGUUUCAGAUAUUACUUGUUGAUCAUUGAUGACUUUUCAAAAAAAAAUAAUAUUAAUAAAUAAAUUGGGUUUUCUUAUUGAAAACUAAAGAUGUCACUUUCUCCCUUUUCAAGGAUUGGAAAACUCAAGUUGAAAGUCAAAUUGAUCACAAAAUUAAAACUUUGAUGACUGAUAAUAGUGUGGAAUUUUGCAAUUAUGAAUUCAAUAAUUUCUAUAAAGAACAUAGUAUUUUGAGAUAUAAAAUUGUCACUUAUACACCUCAACAAAAUAGAAUAACUAAAAGAAUGAAUAGAACUUUAUUAAACAAAGUUAGACGCAUGCUUUUAAGUUCUAGUUUGCUUAAAUGGUUUUGGUGCGAAACUCGAACAUGUCAGAAUGGGCUAACCUGAACCGACCCACCCGCAAGCUUAAUCGGCAUGAGCCCAAUAGUUCUAUCAAUCCGGCACAUGUCGAUUUUCAGUCUAAAUCAAGCCUAAAGCAUAAUCUCUCUUUAUUUUAAAAGAGAGAAUGUAAGGUUUACUAUUCAUUUUUGUCACAUAGAUUUUCAUAUGAAAUUGGUUUUGCAACAGUAAAUUAUCAAUGACGCUCUAGCAUUCUUUUCACACUCUAUUUCACCAUUUUCACACGCCGUUUCAUUACGACAUUACCUCCACUACAAUAUUUCUACAUGUUCACACACUACUUCACUUGAUUAAAGACAAUACUAUAUAUUAUAUAAUAAAUAAACGAAAUUAAAUAUAAAGAUUAUUUAAAAAAAUUACAGACAAAAAUAGAAAGAAAUUAUUAUAAAGUUUUUAAAUAAAAUUAAAAUGAUUUAAGGAAAAAAUAAAUAUUAUUUAAUUUCAAAUUUAACGAAUGUCGUUCUAUCAUAAAGAAUGUAUAAAGAUUAAACAAAUAAAAUAAUAUUAUAAUUAAAAUCGAAAAUAUUAAAUUAAAAAAAAAUCUCUCAUUGGACGGAGAGAAUCUCUCCUUUUGAAAUGUCAAAAGGAGAGAAAAAGUUUUGACUUUUCAAAAGGUGAGAACUCUCCAUUUGUAACCACUCCGUGCAUAGGGUGGUGAUAAUUUUUUGUUAGUUUUAUUUAUAUAGUUAUUUUUUUAUUAAUAAAUAUUUAAUUUAAAAAAAUAUAUCUAAAUAUCUACUUGAAAAUGUUAAAGUUAAUAUUUUUUUAUCUAUAAAUAAGUAGCUUUUACAAAUGUAAUUUUUUUACUACUUUUAAAUAAUUUGAAGUAAUUUUUUUUUAUCUAUAAGUAACUUUUUAUAUUUUAGAUGGUGUAAUCUUUUUAUUAAUAUUUAAUUAUAUCUAAAUAUUUAUACUUACAAAUUUUUAGGUUAAUAUUUUUUUACCCUCCUUAUCCUUCCUUAUAGAAUGUGAGGUUUACUGUUUAUUUAUGUCACAUAAAUUUUCACAAGAAACUAGUUUGAUAAUAAUAGAUUAUUCUAUUCAAUCACAUCGUAGCAUUUUUUUCACACGCUAUUUCACCAUUUUCACACGUCAUUUCACUGUAAUGUCACGUCCAUUGCAAUAUUUAUCCAUUUUUAUACAUUACAUCACUUGAUGAAAGUUAAUACUAUAUUAUUAGCCUGUUUGAGCCACAUUUUUUUUCAAAAAAAUAUAUUUUUCAACGAUGAUUUGACAUCAUCUCAAUCACAAAUUCUUCGAUAAAAUAAUAUUAUAAGCAAAUCCAAAACUUUUUCUUAUUUCUUAACCACACAUUUCUCAUCAAUACACUAUUUAAAAAUACAUUUUCAUUCUAAUAAUGUGGCUCAAACAAGAGUUAUAUUAGGGAUGUCAACGAGCUGGGCCGAGCCGAGCCCGAGCCUAAAAUUUUAGGCUGGAGCUCGGCCCGGUUAAAAUGGUCGAGCUUCAGGCUUUUACGGGCUAAGCCGGACAGGCUCGAUUUUUUUUCCCCUUCCUUUAAAACUGUCUUUUAAAGGCAGCAAACUUGGCAUAAUUCUACCUUGCUGCCUCUUUUUCUUCUCUUUUUUAUUUUUUUAUUUAUAAUAAAAGCUCGCGGGCUGGCUCGGGCUCUGCUCAUGUCCCCAAAAUGGGGCUCGGUACAUGAGCCGGGCCGGCUCGGGCUUUUUCCAUGCCGGACCACAGGCCACCCGAGCCUUUUUGACACCCUUAGGCUAUAUAUAUGAUAAAGAAACGAAACUAAAUAUAAAGAUUAUUAAAAAAAGGAAUUGCAAACAAAAAUAGAAAAAAUUUAUUAUAAAGUUUUUAAAUUAAACUCCUUAUCUUUUAAAAUUAAAAAUAAAUAUUAUUUAAUUCAAAUUAACGAAUGUCGUUCUAUCAUAAAGAAUGUAUAAAGAUUAUUUUAUUAGACCAAAAUAAAUAAAUAAAAUAAAAUAAAGUUACAAAAAUUAAUUAAAUAAUAUAUAAAUAUUAUGUAAUUAGUUAAAAUUGAAAAAAUUAAAUUUUACCAUAAAAGAAUUAACAAUAAAUUUAUAUUGUAUGAACAAAAUUAUCCAUCCUUAAAAAAAGGGGAGGACAAAAAAAUUUCUCCUUUUGACUUUUCAAAAGGAGAGUUCCCUCCUUUCAAGAAGUAAAACUCUCCGUGAUACUCCAUCUCACGGAGAUCCUCUCCAAUAGGAGUGGGUGGAUUUUUUCUUAUUUAUUUAUUUUGUAAUUUGUUUUGUUGAUAUUAUAGAUAAUUUUUUUCUAUUUAUAAUUUUUAUGAAUUUUUUCUCUUUAUGUAUGAUUGAACUUAAUUUUUUUAAUUAUUUUUUCUCUCAGUGAAAGGAGAAUUUUUUUCCUAUUUAAAAUUUUUUCAAUAUUAAUUUAUUCUAUUUAAUUUUUUUUUCAAUUUUUUUGUACUGGUGAUGGUGGAAAUUAUUGAUUUUUUUUGCACAAAACUGGACGGUUCAUUUUUGUGACACGUGUUUUUACAUUCAACUGGUUUGAAAUGGGUUUGGUCAAAGUGAUUUGAUUUUUUUAUUAUAUUAUACAUCAUUAUCUUACUGUUUAUUUUUGUCACAUUGAUUUUCACAUUGAACAUGUUUGAAAUUGGUUUGGUCAUUUGAAUCUGAUACACAAUACUCUUUCUCUAUUUUCUCACGCUAUCAAUUAUCAACCAUACCCUAUAAUUUUAUUAGUAGUAAUAUUUUGUAACACCGUAGUAGAAACAACAUCGCUUUCUAUUUUACAUGCUUUGAAUUUGACACAUAGUACUCUUUUUUCAUUUUCUCACGCUAUCAACUAUCGACCAUAUCCUAUAAUUUUAUUAGUAAUAAUAUUUUUUCAAAUAGUUUUUUACAUAAUAGUUAUUCUUUAUUUCUAAAAUGUAAAAAGUUACUUAUAACUAAAAAGAUCACUUUAAGUUAUUUAAAAAUAAAAUGAACUUAUAAUUGUAAAAGCUACUUAUAAGUAAAAAAAUAUUAACUUAAAUUUUUUUAAGUAUAAAUAUUUAGAUAUAUUUAGUUUUUAAAAUUAAAUAUUAAUAAAAAUAUUACACUAUAUAGAAUGUAAAAAGUUACUUAUAAAUAAAAAAAGCACUUCAAGUUAUUUAAAAGUAAUAAAAAAACUUACAAUUGUAAAAGAUACUUAUAAGUAAAAAAAAAAUUAAUCUCUCAUUCUCUUAUAAUUGCAAAAGCUACUUAUAAGUAAAAAAAUAUUAACUUAAAAUUUUUUAAGUAUAAAUAUUUAGAUAUAUUUAGUUUUUAAAUUAAAUAUUAAUAAAAAGAUUAGAUAAUCUAAAAAGUUGCUUAUAAGUAAAAAAAUCACUUCAAGUUAUUUAAAAGUAAUAAAAAAAACUUAUAAUUGUAAAAGCUACUUAGAUAAAAAAAAAUAUUAAUUUCAACAUUUUUAAGUAAAUGUUUAGAUAUAUUUAAUUUUUUUAAAAUUAAAUAUUAAUAAAAAAUUACUAUAAUUAAUAAUAAUAAUAAUAAUAUACGUGGUGCACGGAGUGAAAGCACUCCAUGCAUUGUUUUUUUAAUUUUUUUUACUAUAGUAAAUUUUUUAUUAAUAUUUAAUUUUAAAAAAUUAAAUAUAUUUAAAUAUUUACUUAAAAAUGUUGAAGUUAAUAUUUUUUUAUCUAUAAGUAGCUUUUAUAAUUAUAAUGGGGUGUUUGAGAGACAUUUUUAUGUAAAAUUUUACAUUUUAGAAUAGUAACUUGAUGGGAAGUGUGUGAUUGAAAAUUAAGAAAUUUAUUUUGAUUUAAGUAUAAUAUUAUUUUAAUAAAGAAUGUGUGAUUGAAAAUAAGAGAGAGAAAAAUGAAUUUUGGAAAAAAUCGGUACCAAACGGGGGCUGAGUUUUUUUAUUACUUUUAAAUAACUUGAAAUAAUUUUUUUACUUAUAAGUAACUUUUUAUAUUCUAGAUAGUGUAAACUUAUUAUUAAUAUUUAAUUUAAAAAGCUAAAUAUAUCUAAAUAUUUAUAAUUAAAAAUUUUUAAGUUAAUAUUUUUUUACUUAUAAUUAGCUUUUUUAAUUAUAAGAGAAGGAGGGAUUAAUAUUUUUUUUUUACUUAUAAGUAGCUUUUAUAUUAUAAGUUUUUUUAUUGUUUUUAAAUAACUUGAUGUGAUUUUUUUACUUAUAAGUAACUUUUUACAUUUUAGAUAGUAUAAUCUUUUUAUUAAUUUUUAAUUUAAAAAUAAAAAACUCUUAAAAAAUGGGGUUGAGAUCACUAUUCAUUCUUGUCACUUAAAUUUUCACACUUGCUUGGUUUAUACUAUUCAUUAACUGGUUCACAAAAUGUCCCUUAAAAGUGGGUUUUGCUCUCUCGCUUUCAUUUCUCCAUGUCAAAGAAAACCCUACCACACCGAUUCUCAAAAUCUGGGAUUUUGAAACUCAGAGGGUUGAAGGGGAGAUCUUGAGAAGGAAACUGCAAUAUGAAGUGUAUAAAGUGAUAUGACAAUCUAAUCAAAUGUGGAUAAACAACUUCUUCUACGGGAGUUUCUCAAUUUAUUAUUUUAUCUUUUUUUUUUCAACUUUUUCUAUAACCCCUUCUUUAUUUGUAAUUUUUUCUUUUGGUAGGGUGGGAACAUAAUUCAAAUUCUUUAAAUAAUUCAAAUCUCCAACCAAAAUGGUUUUAAUUACAGUAAAAUAGAAGAAAUAGAAACCCCGAAAAAUGAAAAUGAUUGUAUUAAAGAACAACAACAUAAUAAUGUCAUUGGUAUAUUGAGUUUGUGGCAGGUUUGUUGGCUGAGCUAUUGGGGAGAUAAUACAGGGAUUGGAAGUAAGUGAUGAACAAUGGCCAUAGUGCCAAAACAUGGUUACAUGCAGGCGCGUUUGUAAGAAGUGGAGGACAAUUACAAAAGACGUGGUCGAAGGUGUCAAUUAAUCCACGGGCUGCCAAAAUCACUUUCCCUUAUUUCCUUAAAAAUGUUGAAUCUUUGUGUUUAUGGUCUAUUUUGAAGUACUUAUGUUUCAAGUUAGUGAUUUGGGAAUUUGGUGGAUUUUGAUAUUAGCGAUCUAAGUUUGGUUUUGGAAUUGUUGUUUAUUUAAUAACUAUGUAGACUUAUAGCGUCCGAAUUGGAAUAGAAAUGACCUUUUCAAAUUUGAAAUGGUUGUUUAUGAAUGAAAAUUGUCAUGUUGCCAAUGGCUUUUGAGAAAUAGUUGUAAUUCAUUAGUGAUUUUCUAUUGAACCGAUUUUAGUCCAUUUUAUUUAAUUGAUGAUUCUACUGUGUGUAAUUUCAUUAGACUUAGGCUAAGUUUCUUGGAAUAAAAUACAUGCCAAUAUCGUUCAUUUGUAUAUAUUUAGUAGCAAAAAUUGCUGGAGUGUUCUGCAGUAGUUGAUUAACUGAAAGCAUUGGAUAUACGAUUUGGGCAAAGAAUUUUUAGUGGUUAUUGAUUGUUUUUUAGUUUUCUAUGUUUAUUGCAUUCAGCUUGUUUCAUUAUUGUUUAAAAAUACGUGAUAUUUUUAAACCCUAUCUAUGCUGAACUAAGAACUUUAUAAAUUAUGCUGGCUGAUGCUUUAACUUUCUUUUAUUUUGCAGCCAGGGCCUUGGAAGUGUCCAUAUCAGUGUCUUAUAAAGUGUGACCAGAAGAAUGCAACGUUUUACCUCUGUCUUGCUCUUUCUCCAUGUAAGUAAACAUUUGUUGAAAGUUUCUAAGAUAACUUAUAAAUUGAAAUUUGCUUGUGUACCAAAUGAUAUUUAAUCAUUUUCUAUCUGGUGAAUGAACUAAGUAAAACCUUGAAAUUUAAC